UUGACGUAGACCCGAAACCGGGCGACCUACCCAUGAGCAGGAUGAAGCGAAAGUAAAAUUUCGUGGAGGUCCGAACCCACGAGCGUUGAAAAGCUCGGGGAUGACUUGUGGGUAGCGGUGAAAUUCCAAUCGAGCCCGGAGAUAGCUGGUUCUCCCCGAAAUAGCUUUAGGGCUAGCCUCAAGGUGAGAGAUACGGAGGUAGAGCACUGAAUGUCCUAGGGGGUAUUGCACCUACCGAAGACUAUCAAACUCCGAAUGCCGUCAUCUUAUACUUGGGAGUCAGACUGUGGGUGAUAAGAUUCAUAGUCGAAAGGGCAACAGCCCAGAUCGUCAGCUAAGGUCCCUAAAUGUAAGUUAAGUGGUAAAGGAUGUGGGAUUGCACAGACAACCAGGAUGUUGGCUUAGAAGCAGCCACUCAUUCAAAGAGUGCGUAAUAGCUCACUGGUCGAGUGAUCCUGCGCCGAAGAUUUCCGGGGCUAAAACUUACUACCGAAGCUACGGCAUCAGUAAUGAUGGGUAGGGGAGCUUCCCAUACGGGUUGAAGCAUGACCGUAAGGACAUGUGGACAGUAUGGGAGUGAGAAUGUUGGCAUGAGUAGCGAGAUGUGGGUGAGAAUCCCACAGGCCGUAAACCCAAGGUUUCCAGGGGAAGGUUCGUCCGCCCUGGGUUAGUCGGGACCUAAGCUGAGGCCGAAAGGCGUAGGUGAUGGACAACAGGUUGAUAUUCCUGUACUACCGAUAACCGUUUGAGAGAAGGGAUGACACAGUAGGAUAAGCUAAGCACACUGUUGGUUAUGUGUGCCCAAGCAUUGAGGCAGUCAAAGUAGGCAAAUCCGCUUUGAUAAUGCUGGGAUGUGAUGGGGAGCGAAAUUUAGUAGCGAAGUAGCUGAUUUCACACUGUCAAGAAAAGUCUCUAUCGAGGUUAAAGGUACCCGUACCGCAAACCGACACAGGUGGGUGAGGAGAGUAUCCUAAGGCCAGCGAGAGAACUGUUGUUAAGGAACUCGGCAAAAUGACCCCGUAACUUAGGGAUAAGGGGUGCCACCAUCAGGUGGCCGCAGAGAAUAGGCCCAAGCGACUGUUUACCAAAAACAUAGGUUUCUGCUAAGUCGCAAGACGAUGUAUAGGAGCUGACGCCUGCCCGGUGCUGGAAGGUUAAGGGGAUCUGUUAGAGCAAUCGAAGCAGUGAACUUAAGCCCCAGUAAACGGCGGCCGUAACUAUAACGGUCCUAAGGUAGCGAAAUUCCUUGUCGGGUAAGUUCCGACCCGCACGAAAGGCGUAACGAUUUGGGCACUGUCUCAACAACAGACUCGGUGAAAUUGUAAUUCCGGUGAAGAUGCCGGAUACCUGCGACAGGACGGAAAGACCCCAUGGAGCUUUACUGUAGCUUGACAUUGGGUCUUGGUACUACAUGUACAGGAUAGGUGGGAGGCUUUGAAACCAGGACGCCAGUUUUGGCGGAGCCAUCCUUGGGAUACCACCCUUGUAGUACUGGGACUCUAACCAUAGGCCAUGAAUCUGGUCUUGGGACACUGUCAGGUGGGCAGUUUGACUGGGGCGGUCGCCUCCCAAAAGGUAACGGAGGCGCUCAAAGGUUCUCUCAGUACGGUCGGAAAUCGUACGUAGAGUGUAAAGGCAAAAGAGAGCUUGAUUGCAAGACAUACAGGUCGAGCAAGGAUGAAAAUCGGACUUAGUGAUCCGGUGGUUCUGCGUGGAAGGGCCAUCGCUCAACGGAUAAAAGCUACCCUGGGGAUAACAGGCUUAUCUCCCCCAAGAGUCCACAUCGACGGGGAGGUUUGGCACCUCGAUGUCGGCUCAUCACAUCCUGGGGCUGUAGUAGGUCCCAAGGGUUGGGCUGUUCGCCCAUUAAAGUGGUACGCGAGCUGGGUUCAGAACGUCGUG
RNAcentral lists this ribosomal RNA (1902 nucleotides) under Clostridioides difficile. RNAcentral's name for it is "bacterial LSU rRNA". It matches the Rfam family "Bacterial large subunit ribosomal RNA", at positions 704 to 2623 of the family's 2925-position model. The record is from RNAcentral. Lineage: Bacteria; Bacillati; Bacillota; Clostridia; Peptostreptococcales; Peptostreptococcaceae.